RNAcentral lists this ribosomal RNA (2445 nucleotides) under Salmonella enterica subsp. enterica serovar Infantis. RNAcentral describes it as "bacterial LSU rRNA". It matches the Rfam family "Bacterial large subunit ribosomal RNA", at positions 494 to 2925 of the family's 2925-position model. The record is from RNAcentral. Lineage: Bacteria; Pseudomonadati; Pseudomonadota; Gammaproteobacteria; Enterobacterales; Enterobacteriaceae.
ACCAGUACCGUGAGGGAAAGGCGAAAAGAACCCCGGCGAGGGGAGUGAAAAAGAACCUGAAACCGUGUACGUACAAGCAGUGGGAGCACAGGUUUACCUGUGUGACUGCGUACCUUUUGUAUAAUGGGUCAGCGACUUAUAUUCUGUAGCAAGGUUAACCGAAUAGGGGAGCCGGAGGGAAACCGAGUCUUAAUUGGGCGUUAAGUUGCAGGGUAUAGACCCGAAACCCGGUGAUCUAGCCAUGGGCAGGUUGAAGGUUGGGUAACACUAACUGGAGGACCGAACCGACUAAUGUUGAAAAAUUAGCGGAUGACCUGUGGCUGGGGGUGAAAGGCCAAUCAAACCGGGAGAUAGCUGGUUCUCCCCGAAAGCUAUUUAGGUAGCGCCUCGUGAAUUCAUCUCCGGGGGUAGAGCACUGUUUCGGCUAGGGGGCCAUCCCGGCUUACCAACCCGAUGCAAACUGCGAAUACCGGAGAAUGUUAUCACGGGAGACACACGGCGGGUGCUAACGUCCGUCGUGAAGAGGGAAACAACCCAGACCGCCAGCUAAGGUCCCAAAGUCAUGGUUAAGUGGGAAACGAUGUGGGAAGGCCCAGACAGCCAGGAUGUUGGCUUAGAAGCAGCCAUCAUUUAAAGAAAGCGUAAUAGCUCACUGGUCGAGUCGGCCUGCGCGGAAGAUGUAACGGGGCUAAACCAUGCACCGAAGCUGCGGCAGCGANNGUUGGGUAGGGGAGCGUUCUGUAAGCCUGCGAAGGUGUGCCGUGAGGGUUGCUGGAGGUAUCAGAAGUGCGAAUGCUGACAUAAGUAACGAUAAAGCGGGUGAAAAGCCCGCUCGCCGGAAGACCAAGGGUUCCUGUCCAACGUUAAUCGGGGCAGGGUGAGUCGACCCCUAAGGCGAGGCCGAAAGGCGUAGUCGAUGGGAAACGGGUUAAUAUUCCCGUACUUGGUGUUACUGCGAAGGGGGGACGGAGAAGGCUAUGUUGGCCGGGCGACGGUUGUCCCGGUUUAAGCGUGUAGGUGUGUGUUCCAGGUAAAUCCGGUUCACUUUAACACUGAGGCGUGAUGACGAGGCACUACGGUGCUGAAGCAACAAAUGCCCUGCUUCCAGGAAAAGCCUCUAAGCAUCAGGUAACAUCAAAUCGUACCCCAAACCGACACAGGUGGUCAGGUAGAGAAUACCAAGGCGCUUGAGAGAACUCGGGUGAAGGAACUAGGCAAAAUGGUGCCGUAACUUCGGGAGAAGGCACGCUGACACGUAGGUGAAGUGAUUUACUCAUGGAGCUGAAGUCAGUCGAAGAUACCAGCUGGCUGCAACUGUUUAUUAAAAACACAGCACUGUGCAAACACGAAAGUGGACGUAUACGGUGUGACGCCUGCCCGGUGCCGGAAGGUUAAUUGAUGGGGUCAGCGCAAGCGAAGCUCCUGAUCGAAGCCCCGGUAAACGGCGGCCGUAACUAUAACGGUCCUAAGGUAGCGAAAUUCCUUGUCGGGUAAGUUCCGACCUGCACGAAUGGCGUAAUGAUGGCCAGGCUGUCUCCACCCGAGACUCAGUGAAAUUGAACUCGCUGUGAAGAUGCAGUGUACCCGCGGCAAGACGGAAAGACCCCGUGAACCUUUACUAUAGCUUGACACUGAACAUUGAGCCUUGAUGUGUAGGAUAGGUGGGAGGCUUUGAAGCGUGGACGCCAGUCUGCGUGGAGCCGACCUUGAAAUACCACCCUUUAAUGUUUGAUGUUCUAACGUGGACCCGUAAUCCGGGUUGCGGACAGUGUCUGGUGGGUAGUUUGACUGGGGCGGUCUCCUCCUAAAGAGUAACGGAGGAGCACGAAGGUUGGCUAAUCCUGGUCGGACAUCAGGAGGUUAGUGCAAUGGCAUAAGCCAGCUUGACUGCGAGCGUGACGGCGCGAGCAGGUGCGAAAGCAGGUCAUAGUGAUCCGGUGGUUCUGAAUGGAAGGGCCAUCGCUCAACGGAUAAAAGGUACUCCGGGGAUAACAGGCUGAUACCGCCCAAGAGUUCAUAUCGACGGCGGUGUUUGGCACCUCGAUGUCGGCUCAUCACAUCCUGGGGCUGAAGUAGGUCCCAAGGGUAUGGCUGUUCGCCAUUUAAAGUGGUACGCGAGCUGGGUUUAGAACGUCGUGAGACAGUUCGGUCCCUAUCUGCCGUGGGCGCUGGAGAACUGAGGGGGGCUGCUCCUAGUACGAGAGGACCGGAGUGGACGCAUCACUGGUGUUCGGGUUGUCAUGCCAAUGGCACUGCCCGGUAGCUAAAUGCGGAAGAGAUAAGUGCUGAAAGCAUCUAAGCACGAAACUUGCCCCGAGAUGAGUUCUCCCUGAGACUUAGAGUCUCCUGAAGGAACGUUGAAGACGACGACGUUGAUAGGCCGGGUGUGUAAGCGCAGCGAUGCGUUGAGCUAACCGGUACUAAUGAACCGUGAGGCUUAACCUU